This 73-nucleotide transfer RNA is filed under the name Marmota monax (woodchuck). RNAcentral describes it as "tRNA.Ala". The record is from RNAcentral. Lineage: Eukaryota; Metazoa; Chordata; Mammalia; Rodentia; Sciuridae.
UGGAGAUGUAGCUCAGCGGUAGAGAACUUGCCUGGCAUGUAAGAGGCCCUGGGUUCAACCACCAGUACUGCAA